This 229-nucleotide ribosomal RNA is filed under the name uncultured bacterium. Its description in RNAcentral is "partial 16S ribosomal RNA". It matches the Rfam family "Bacterial small subunit ribosomal RNA", at positions 118 to 347 of the family's 1533-position model. The record is from RNAcentral.
UGAGCAAUCUGCCCUUCACAUCGGAAUAAGCGUUGGAAACGACGUCUAAUGCCGAAUACGACCUCCUUUCGCAUGAUCGGAGGUGGAAAGCUCCGGCGGUGAAGGAUGAGCUCGCGGCCUAUCAGCUUGUUGGUGAGGUAAUAGCUCACCAAGGCGAUGACGGGUAGCCGGCCUGAGAGGGUGACCGGCCACACGUGGGACUGAGGCACGGCCCAGACCUNUACGGGAG